Molecule: long non-coding RNA, 500 nt
Filed under: Amborella trichopoda
Lineage: Eukaryota; Viridiplantae; Streptophyta; Magnoliopsida; Amborellales; Amborellaceae
Description: long non-coding RNA (ATRI_LNC005109)
Source: RNAcentral
CUCUUGAUUCAUGGCGAACCCCGCUCACCUAUUUAUAGACCCUCGUGUUCUUGCUCACCUCUUUAUAGACCCUCGUGCUCUUUUUUUCAUUAACACGUUGGGUUGGAGCGGACCAAAUGACCGAAAUUUUGGCCCCGCCUGGAAACGGCCGCUUGGCUUGGAAAUUAUUUUUGGGCCCUCCCCGAGAUAAGAUAAGAAAUAAAAAUAAAAAAUAAAAAAUAAUGUAUAUAUUUAUAUAUAGCGUUUGUAUUCCAUAAUGCCGAUCUUUUAUCUCUAUUCCAUAACUAAACCACUGUAUAGGAAGAGAACAACUUUGAGAGCAAACAAGACCUUAUUUCACUAAAAGUGGAAACAACCCAAAAGCUUUAUAGAACCGCUUCUCUACAAGAAACCAACAUCUCACUCUAUAGGAUUCUUCAAGUGGCACCAUCAAUAUUUCUCGUCAUAGGAAGCUUUUUUCUCUAAGAAGAAAUUGCAUCCUAUGUACAGGUGGCUCUACC